GAUGAACGCUGGCGGCGUGCCUAAUACAUGCAAGUCGAGCGAACAGACGAGGAGCUUGCUCCUCUGACGUUAGCGGCGGACGGGUGAGUAACACGUGGAUAACCUACCUAUAAGACUGGGAUAACUUCGGGAAACCGGAGCUAAUACCGGAUAAUAUAUUGAACCGCAUGGUUCAAUAGUGAAAGACGGUUUUGCUGUCACUUAUAGAUGGAUCCGCGCCGCAUUAGCUAGUUGGUAAGGUAACGGCUUACCGAGGCAACGAUGCGUAGCCGACCUGAGAGGGUGAUCGGCCACACUGGACCUGAGACACGGUCCAGACUCCUACGGGAGGCAGCAGUAGGGAAUCUUCCGCAAUGGGCGAAAGCCUGACGGAGCAACGCCGCGUGAGUGAUGAAGGUCUUCGGAUCGUAAAACUCUGUUAUUAGGGAAGAACAAAUGUGUAAGUAACUAUGCACGUCUUGACGGUACCUAAUCAGAAAGCCACGGCUAACUACGU
RNAcentral lists this ribosomal RNA (496 nucleotides) under uncultured bacterium. Its description in RNAcentral is "partial 16S ribosomal RNA". It matches the Rfam family "Bacterial small subunit ribosomal RNA", at positions 28 to 506 of the family's 1533-position model. The record is from RNAcentral.